RNAcentral lists this ribosomal RNA (253 nucleotides) under uncultured bacterium. RNAcentral describes it as "partial 16S ribosomal RNA". It matches the Rfam family "Bacterial small subunit ribosomal RNA", at positions 524 to 776 of the family's 1533-position model. The record is from RNAcentral.
UACAGAGGGGGCAAGCGUUAUUCGGAAUUAUUGGGCGUAAAGGGCGCGUAGGCGGCCUUUCAAGUGACGGGUGAAAUCCCUCGGCUUAACCGAGGAACUGCCUGUCAGACUGGAAGGCUUGAGACCGGGAGAGGUGAGUGGAAUUCCCAGUGUAGCGGUGAAAUGCGUAGAUAUUGGGAGGAACACCAGUGGCGAAGGCGGCUCACUGGACCGGAACUGACGCUGAGGCGCGAAAGCGUGGGGAGCAAACAGG